This 73-nucleotide transfer RNA is filed under the name Archaeoglobales archaeon. RNAcentral's name for it is "tRNA-Arg". It matches the Rfam family "tRNA". Rfam says of the family: Transfer RNA (tRNA) molecules are approximately 80 nucleotides in length. Their secondary structure includes four short double-helical elements and three loops (D, anti-codon, and T loops). The record is from RNAcentral. Lineage: Archaea; Methanobacteriati; Methanobacteriota; Archaeoglobi; Archaeoglobales. RNAcentral also lists the same sequence under 1 other name.
GGGCUCGUGGGGUAGGUGGAGAUCCUAAGGGGCUUCGGACCCCUUGACCCGGGUUCAACUCCCGGCGAGCCCG